This is a long non-coding RNA of Hylaeus anthracinus, 1029 nucleotides long. RefSeq lists it as uncharacterized. The transcript is spliced from 2 exons. The record is from RefSeq and is a predicted model, not a curated record. Lineage: Eukaryota; Metazoa; Arthropoda; Insecta; Hymenoptera; Colletidae.
GAUACGUUCCGCGAUUUGUGAAUUUUUCAGCGGAUUGGCCGGUCGAUCUAACCUCAAUUGUUGAACUAACGAAAUUUGAAAUUAGCGAAAAGAUGAAAGAGUCGCAAAAGUUCGCGCGUCUUCGACGUCGCCUUGGAAUGUUGGGUUUCGAGGUUGAAAUCGAGUUUGAAGGUUUAAUGGGUCACGGUGGGAAAGAGAACGCGGAACUCGCGCGAGACGUCCGAUCGACGAAAGCGAGAUCGACGGAGCGUUGGACCUCGAACGAAAACGAUAGUGAAUCGGUGUCGUUGAACCUCCUUUGCCGAGGAUCUUUCUUCUCGGAACGAGACGGUUAUACCGCUGUAUCCCGAGGUCCGUUACUCGACUGCAUUCCUCUCCUUUGAAUUCAAAGUCGAACGAAAUCGAAAGCGGAUCGUCGACGUCGAUGGUCGUGAACGUCUGUUUUCACGUGACAAGUCCGUGGCGUAAGUUCAGGGCCGUCUCUAGUGCGUUACAUUAACCCUUUCCGCUCGGCUGGCGCCUCUAGGGCGACAUAAUGUAAUUUAAUAGUGAUUUUGUGAACGUAGAAUUUCAAAUUCACUUACAUCGUGAUGCAACUAAUUGUUAAUCGAAAUAAUAAUAUUAUACAUUGAGUCAUGAACAAAAAUGCCUCGAACGCAAAGGGUUAGUUACUCGACAUACAGUCGGUAUAAUAAGUAUUCGUACAGGAACCAUUUAUUUUAAAUUGGUUGCUGCACAAAUAUUUAUUAUACACGAAUCAUUCCCUCGGGAUGAGUUUCAGUAAUUAACCGAGUAAUCAAAGGUCAACUGUCGAUGUCCCAAACGAACAUUUAACUUUCAAUAAUUAUCAUCGUCCAGUGAUGUUGAACAAUGUUGAUGAUGAACUAAAAGUUGACCAACUAUGAUCGUGUCUGGACUAAUUUUUAUCAGGAGAACUCCAGACGUCUAUCGAUGAUACUUCAUAAAGAUAUAAUGGAAUCGAUAUUAAUUUUAAUCUCGUGAUAUAAAAGUGUCAUUCUCGCGAUAAAA